CGCAGCGACGCCUGCGCACUGAACGCCGGUUGCCCAUGCGGCCCUAGGGCUGGGAGCGCGGCGCCGCUCUCCGCUGCGGGGGAGGCCAUGGCGGAACCUUCCCAGGCCCCGACCCCGGCCCCGGCUGCGCAGCCCCGGCCCCUUCAGUCCCCAGCCCCUGCCCCAACUCCGACUCCUGCACCCAGCCCGGCUUCAGCCCCGACUCCGACUCCCACCCCGGCACCAGCCCCUGCCCCAGCUGCAGCCCCAGCCGGCAGCACAGGGACUGGGGGGCCCGGGGUAGGAAGUGGGGGGGCCGGGAGCGGGGGGGAUCCGGCUCGACCUGGCCUGAGCCAGCAGCAGCGCGCUAGCCAGAGGAAGGCGCAAGUCCGGGGGCUGCCGCGCGCCAAGAAGCUUGAGAAGCUAGGGGUCUUCUCGGCUUGCAAGGCCAAUGAAACCUGUAAGUGUAAUGGCUGGAAAAACCCCAAGCCCCCCACUGCACCCCGCAUGGAUCUGCAGCAGCCAGCUGCCAACCUGAGUGAGCUGUGCCGCAGUUGUGAGCAUCCCUUGGCUGACCACGUAUCUCACUUGGAGAAUGUGUCAGAGGAUGAAAUAAACCGGCUGCUGGGGAUGGUGGUGGAUGUGGAGAAUCUCUUCAUGUCUGUUCACAAGGAGGAGGACACAGACACCAAGCAGGUCUAUUUCUACCUCUUCAAGCUCCUGCGGAAAUGCAUCCUGCAGAUGACACGGCCCGUGGUGGAGGGGUCCCUGGGCAGCCCUCCAUUUGAGAAACCUAAUAUUGAGCAGGGUGUGCUGAACUUUGUGCAGUACAAGUUUAGUCACCUGGCUCCCCGGGAGCGGCAGACGAUGUUUGAGCUCUCAAAGAUGUUCUUGCUCUGCCUUAACUACUGGAAGCUUGAGACACCUGCCCAGUUUCGGCAGAGGUCUCAGGCUGAAGAUGUGGCUACCUACAAGGUCAAUUACACCAGAUGGCUCUGUUAUUGCCACGUGCCCCAGAGCUGUGAUAGUCUCCCCCGCUACGAAACCACUCAUGUCUUUGGGCGAAGCCUUCUCCGGUCCAUUUUCACCGUUACCCGCCGGCAGCUCCUGGAAAAGUUCCGAGUGGAGAAGGACAAAUUGGUGCCUGAGAAGAGGACCCUCAUCCUCACUCACUUCCCCAAAUUCCUGUCCAUGCUGGAGGAGGAGAUCUAUGGGGCAAACUCUCCAAUCUGGGAGUCAGGCUUCACCAUGCCACCCUCAGAGGGGACACAGCUGGUGCCCCGGCCAGCUUCGGUCAGUGCAGCAGUUGUUCCCAGCACCCCCAUCUUCAGCCCCAGCAUGGGCGGAGGCAGCAGCAACUCCCUGAGUCUGGAUCCUGCAGGGGCCGAGCCCAUGCCAGGUGAGAAGAGGAAGCUCCCGGAGAACCUGACCCUGGAGGAUGCCAAGAGGCUCCGUGUGAUGGGUGACAUCCCCAUGGAGCUAGUCAAUGAGGUCAUGCUGACCAUCACUGACCCUGCUGCCAUGCUGGGUCCUGAGACGAGCCUGCUUUCGGCCAACGCGGCCCGGGAUGAGACAGCCCGCCUGGAGGAGCGCCGUGGCAUCAUUGAGUUCCACGUCAUCGGCAACUCGCUGACGCCCAAGGCCAACCGGCGGGUGUUGCUGUGGCUCGUGGGGCUGCAGAAUGUCUUUUCCCACCAGCUGCCACGCAUGCCUAAGGAGUAUAUCGCCCGCCUCGUCUUUGACCCGAAGCACAAGACUCUGGCCUUGAUCAAGGAUGGGCGGGUCAUCGGUGGCAUCUGCUUCCGCAUGUUUCCCACCCAGGGCUUCACGGAGAUUGUCUUCUGUGCUGUCACCUCGAAUGAGCAGGUCAAGGGUUAUGGGACCCACCUGAUGAACCACCUGAAGGAGUAUCAUAUCAAGCACAACAUUCUCUACUUCCUCACCUACGCGGACGAGUACGCCAUCGGCUACUUCAAAAAGCAGGGUUUCUCCAAGGACAUCAAGGUGCCCAAAAGCCGAUACCUGGGCUACAUCAAGGACUACGAGGGAGCGACACUGAUGGAGUGUGAGCUGAAUCCCCGCAUCCCCUACACAGAGCUGUCCCACAUCAUCAAGAAGCAGAAAGAGGUGGUGUGCACAUAUCAUCAAGAAGCUGAUUGAGCGCAAACAGGCCCAGAUCCGCAAGGUCUACCCGGGGCUCAGCUGCUUCAAGGAGGGGGUGAGGCAGAUCCCUGUGGAGAGUGUCCCUGGCAUUCGAGAGACGGGCUGGAAGCCUUUGGGGAAGGAGAAGGGGAAGGAGCUGAAGGACCCCGACCAGCUCUACACAACCCUCAAAAACCUGCUGGCCCAAAUCAAGUCGCACCCCAGUGCCUGGCCCUUCAUGGAGCCUGUGAAGAAGUCGGAGGCCCCUGACUACUACGAGGUCAUCCGCUUCCCCAUUGACCUGAAGACCAUGACUGAGCGGCUGCGAAGCCGCUACUACGUGACCCGGAAGCUCUUUGUGGCCGACCUGCAGCGGGUCAUUGCCAACUGCCGCGAGUACAACCCCCCGGACAGCGAGUACUGCCGCUGCGCCAGCGCCCUGGAGAAGUUCUUCUACUUCAAGCUCAAGGAGGGAGGGCUCAUUGACAAGUAGGCCCAGCUUUGGGCCGCAGCCCUGACCUUGAAUGUCUCCACCUCGGAUUCUGAUCUGAUCCUUAGGGGAUGCCCUGGCCCCACGGACCCAACUCAACUUGAGACACUCUAGCCAAGGGCCCUCCGGCCCCUGAUCCUACAGCCCUUUCUGGACCUUCAGGCACCCCCCAAGCCUGCAGCUCCAUCCCAGCCUUCACUGUGUGUGAGAGGUCUCCUGGGUUGGGGCCCAGUCCCUCUAGAGUGGCUGGUGGCCAGGGAUGAAACUUGCCCAGCCGUGGUGGCCCCCAGACCUGGUCCCCAAGAGCUUUGGAGGCUUGGAUUCCUGGGCCUGGCCCUGCUGGUUGUUUCCCUGAGGACCAGGACUGUUCAUUUUAGCUUGAGUGAUGGCUUCAGGGGUUGGAAGUUCAGUCCAAACUGGAGGGGCCAUGCCUUGUCCAGUACUGUACUGUCAGUCUCCCCCAGGGGUGGGGGUGUGGGGACCAUUCAUUCCCUGGCAUUAAUCCCUUAGAGGGAACAAUAAAGCUUUUUAUUUCUCUGUG
Molecule: RNA transcript, 3152 nt
Organism: Rhinopithecus roxellana (golden snub-nosed monkey)
Lineage: Eukaryota; Metazoa; Chordata; Mammalia; Primates; Cercopithecidae
Gene: KAT2A
Gene name: lysine acetyltransferase 2A
Exons: 18
Source: RefSeq, a predicted model, not a curated record